GAGCCCAUGGAAAGAAUGAGGUGGUGCCACUGGCUACUCAGGGGCCCACAAGAGGAAAUCUUCAACGAAGACUUCUUCCCUGAGCCAUGUAGGGUCUGUGCUUUCAACUUGAGCUGCCGUGUGCAGAGAAAACCAGUGCCCAGCAUGUAUUACCUCUGUGUGCAGUUCAAAGAGAGGCAAAGGUUGACUUGGGUCCAGUCCCGAGUGUGAAUGUGCGGGGGCUCCACUCUUAGCCUCCAUGCCAGGAAACCUUCUCGGAGCCUGGCACCAGCUGUCGUCCAUCCUGAGCUACUUGAAGGGGCUUCUAGCUCCCCAUUCAUGGACUUGAGACUUGAUGCUGUGCUUUUUCCUCUUUUUGCUGCCUUGUCUCUGGCUUCAGCCUAGACUUGACAUUGCAAACUCUGGAGGAUAGUGGGGAAGGAAAAGAGCAUUCUCCACGGCCACCCAUCUAGGGAGGAAGCAGCGGCUGAAGUCCCCCUCCCUCAAGACUCCACCUUCCAUCCCCAAAGGGCUGACUAUCCUUCUAUCUAGUCGCAUCAACAAAGUCCCAUCUCCUUCCAUGCCACAGAACCUAUAACUGCUCACCAUUAAACAUUAUACCAUUGCACCCCAUUCCACCCACACUCUGCAGCUCCUUCUCUCUGACUCUCCAGAUGCCAUUUCAUCCCCAAGAUUUUGUACUAGUUAAUGCUAUUUUUCUAAAAUCUUCAAUCAUUCCCCUUUAUCUCUGUUGAAUGUAGCACUGCUUCUAGCCCUUACCCACCUCCCUGCCCCAGUCAUCUCUGCCCUGCCUUCGGCCAUAACACUCCAUCAUAAGUCUUGCACAUGAAAAAGUAUAAUGAAUAAAUAAUAAUAACUAGUUUGCUG
Suncus etruscus (white-toothed pygmy shrew) is the source of this 867-nucleotide long non-coding RNA. RefSeq lists it as uncharacterized. The record is from RefSeq and is a predicted model, not a curated record. The transcript has 2 exons. Lineage: Eukaryota; Metazoa; Chordata; Mammalia; Eulipotyphla; Soricidae.